This is a non-coding RNA of Petromyzon marinus (sea lamprey), 4312 nucleotides long. The record is from RefSeq and is a predicted model, not a curated record. Lineage: Eukaryota; Metazoa; Chordata; Hyperoartia; Petromyzontiformes; Petromyzontidae.
ACACACACACACACCUCCCACACACACACUCGUCUUGCCUGGGGACUCAAACGCAGUCAGCCCGUCGUGGUUCUGGCCUCGCCGCCAGCUCGCCCGCCCUGUCGUCUGCAAUAGGUGCUCGCUGACAGCGCUCGACUCCGCACAGCGCUGCUGCUACCCCGUGCGGACCUCUUGGGCUCGCUUAGCGACUGCGCCACCUAACUGGCCAUUUAGCAGCGCUCAAUUAAUAUCAAGCCUUGAAUAUAUUUAAAGCCGCGGGUAUCAAGUGUAUGAAGCCAAUGAAACGCUAUCCGUAGGCUAUGUAAGGUGUAUGUGUAAGCCUUUACAUAUAUACACGUGUAUCAUUAUAUAUAGAGGCACGACGAGAGACAAACACAGAGACAGGCACGUGGAAGACAGGAGAGACACUGCCUUUUACGAUGCCUGCCUAUUUGUGUUUUUACACGGCUAUCUCUGUCUCCGGGUGUCUCUCUCCGUGUAUAUCUGUGCCUCUUAAUGUAAAUGUCCCUGUAUGUCUGUCUGUGUCCGUCUCCGUGUCUCCGUCUGUCUCUGUACACGUCUUUCUUGCUCUGUCCCUCAAUCUGCCCCUUCGCGUCUGUGCCUGUCUCUCUGCGUCCCUCUUCCAGCAUCAGUCUGGAGCGGUGGGAGCCACUCUUUGGCAGUGUCUGUCCCAGUGUGUUUCUGUUUGUCUCUCUCUGUGUCUCGAGGCAUGUCCUCCUCGGCGUCUACACAGCGCUCCGCUUCGUGUGAAGUCGAUGAAGGUGAGAGGCGUGGGGGGUCGACGUCAGGGACAGCGGUGAUUGCCCACCACGAGAGCUGGCGAUGGUGGAGGUGCAAUUGUAGGGAGCGGUGUGCGCAGUGGUUCGCGCACUGCACGGCGAGUCUGUGUUCUUGAUUCAACCAAUUAUUUGCGCGAUGCUGCUGCGUUGGCAGUGGUGCCCGAUCACAAAUAACAAACAAAACAAUCCUCAAACGUUCGUCAAAAAAAUCUGACCUUUUAAGAAAAAACAUACAAUAACCGACGUUUGGGGAAUACUCCUUCAUUGUACAUGUGCUAUGUGUUAAGAUGUAUGCUUACUUGAAUUUGCUUCAUGGCCACGGCUAACAUUAGUGGCGAGUGAUUAUACCUCCUUCACCAGCCUGCACUUCUGACCAGCGCGGUGAAGUAUGGUCAAACAACCUUCCUGGCCGAAAUUGCGUGGGGAAGCCUUCGUACAGUGGUGGAUUGCUGCUGCUGAUAUUUUUGUGAGUUAAAACAUUUCACCGGGAAAGACCCUCGACAUGGAAUCAUGUCAUAAGCGUGUCGAGGGUGUAGAUGAACAUGCACACACGCACACAGCCAACACGUGCACAUACAUCUCGAAUCUAUCACUUUUCUGCCGUUUCGCUCCACGUGUUGUGAUGUACUUCGAUUAGAUUCCUGAGAAAGAACGUGGAGAAAAACGUCGGACAUCGUGCCGAACAACGCGAGGAACAGCCCGAAAAGCAUUGGAGGUUGACACUUUACGAGAGCGCUCGCACCUCAAAACAACGCCAUCACCAUGACGGUGUUGGGAACAGCAAACCGUCAUCCAGCAGUGGAGACAGACCUCCGUGGGAUCUCUUCUCGCAAUGUUUUCACCAUCCGAGAUGUAUCUCCUGCGAAAAUGUUAGCCCCGUCGUCCCAACUCGAUGCCUCGCUCCAUCACGGCAUCUGACCCCUCGGAGCAGAGGAUGAGAGAAGAGUCAAGGAGGUGAGGGGAGAGGAGAAAGGAGAAGAGGCAAGGAGAGGAGAGAGAGAGGAGGAGAGAAGUGGCAGGAGAUGAGGGGAGAGGAUAAGGGAAGAUUACCGCGCCCAGGUGACUUUCGCCAGUGGCGGGGCGAAAACUCCGCUGUUGCAGUUCUACACGCGGCGCUCGACAGUUCGUGCGGCCCGCGAUUGCCGGGACACCUCCUGCUAGACCGCUCCACGGGCUUCAGUGAGCGUGGACUCAUUGGAGAGCUCCUCAUGCGUCGUUAUGGGAACGAGGUCGAUCUUUAGAGAAACUCUUUCACCUUUGGUCUGAUAGUUUGUUUUAUUCAUUCAAUUCCCCGAAGCACGAGGGAUGAUCGACCAGGCCCAGGCAGAGUCCCGCGCGGUUCGCGUCCUGCGCCACGCACCCUGCUGCCCGAUUUAUAUUUCUGCUCACGGCCAACAUCGGUGACUGAACCAAUACUGAGCCUCACCCAAGUCGACCCUUUGUGCUGUGUGCGUUGUGGUUAUUUGGGUCGAUACUUGUGUGUUCAUAUCGGUGCGUGCGGGUGAGCACAGCACGAGAGGCGGUGUGUACGGCUUGGGGUAUGGGUUGGUUGCCAAGUGCGGUUAACGUUUGAGCCAAUGAACUCCAUGAGAGUGAGCGGAUAUCGCUUUAGCUCACAGAUCUCUACGACAGUGAAUUUUGGAGUCCACUCCCCGUGCUCCUCACCUCCCCUCCGCUCUCCCCCGCCCCUCGCGUCUCGCCUGAUUUACAUGCGAAUUGACUGCACAAUUAAGAAGUGAAUGGACACCUAAUACAGUGGGAAUGAAUGGACGGUGUCUAAUUAAUGAUCGCGAGGAAUGGGAAUCUAUUAUGGAAAUGUGGGAAGCUUGGCGUGUGGAGACUGUCUGUGUGCGGAGUGCUGGAGCAGUGGUUAGUGCACUGCGCCAAUAUUUGAACUGAUCUUUUGUUUCCCAAUAGGUCGACUCAGCCUCAAAUGAGUACCUGUUGCAGAGUAUAAACAUUGCAGGACGCCAAUUGAACAGAGCCCGAACACGUAUUAGGCCCUUCCUGUCGAAAUAAAUGAAAUCUGAUCUAAUCUAAAAAUCUAAUCAGCACUAGGAAGACAAAGGCGGCCGGGCGUGGUGCUGGCCACUCACCCCGUCGUGUGCCGUUCCGGCCUUCACAUGUGCCCGCUAUCAGCACUUGAAUGUCCUCUCACUCGCAUACAAUUUCGCAUCUUCUUUGACUACGUCGUUCAAGAAGCUUCCCAUGACUGUACUGGUGGAAUUUCCAUCUGGUACAGCUGUUACAAAGGGAAGAUGAUCAAUGUACGGAUGUAGUCAAGGGAUAGCUCCCUUUUGCUAUGUUAUGUAUGUUGAUGAUCUGGUAAUUGCUUCUCACUCGGAGGAGUUUGAGACGCUACUGUUGAGCCUGGAACUUGCUCCUUAAGAGAUGAGGCAUGACUACCACCCACCACCACAACGCGUCUGCCUGAGUAUUUUGCCAUCAAAUACUCCACUCUCCAUGAGUGAUGGGGCAGUUGCCAAGAGAGAGGUGUCCGAACAUGAGCAGUGUGCGUAUGACCAGCUGCAGUUUGGCAACGGAGAUUUCACUCCUCAUCAGUCGAACGGCAUAACGAUGUGUGGAAGCGACAUGGCUUGUCACUCCAUACAAAGCGCCAGAUCUUCUGUUCCACAGUUAGGGCUCUCCCUUCUCUCCGCUUGCGAAACGUGCAGCACUUUAAAGGAACGUCGACGCCAGUUAGUGGUUGCUGCUGUUGUGUGCGCGGACAUUAAAUCAGUGAGCACACAUAUCAUACAUAUGUAAUAAUCUGGUCAAAUAUGUGUCAUGAGACCCUCCACCCACCACAUAGCUAAAUAGAUAAAAUAGUUGCGUGUACACCGUUUAACGGGCCACGUAUAAGUGUCAGCUGACCGGUGAGUAAACAACUCUUCUCACAUCCAAACUGAGCAGUUCGAUACUCGAAGUUUUGCUACGCUAAUUAUUUUCAGUUCCAGGAACUUAGAACAAAUCCAUGAAAUUAAGUUUAACUUAUGAAUAAAAUAUAUAAAUUGCUACAGGAAAUUGCCCUUCUGUGUAGCACAUUGGUGACGGAUAUCUGCAGCGCCCCACGAUGGUUUGAGCAAGGGAGAGGAUUUAAAAUUCGAACUCGGCAAGGAAUACGGGGAGCUCCGUCCCCUCCUCCCCUCGUGGGCGCGGGAAGAGCAGCCACGCGUGUCCCAUAAAUCCUCACGACGGUGACGCGCGGAGACAGAGGGCGCACCGCAAUCCGUCGCUGUAAACCAGAGGUGGGAAACCUUUUCCUUCCCGAGGGCCACAUAAAACUUUCAAAAACCUUUAUGGGGCAACCACACAGACCGCGAUCGCCUCUUACUGCAAAAUGCCAUGCAAGUGACAGAAUCGGCUCAGUGCGGGAAUCGAACUCUGGUUGCCGGGUUUGCAGCGUAGUGCGCUAAGCACUACACUACCGCUCCCCACAUCUACAGUACACACACAUGUAAACUCAUACACGUACAUACGCGUGCACGCUUGCAUCUAUAAGAAUUGCAUACUCGCGCAGAGACACAGUACAC